GUGGGGAAUAUUGGACAAUGGGCGAAAGCCUGAUCCAGCCAUGCCGCGUGAGUGAUGAAGGCCCUAGGGUUGUAAAGCUCUUUUGUGCGGGAAGAUAAUGACGGUACCGCAAGAAUAAGCCCCGGCUAACUUCGUGCCAGCAGCCGCGGUAAUACGAAGGGGGCUAGCGUUGCUCGGAAUCACUGGGCGUAAAGGGUGCGUAGGCGGGUUUCUAAGUCAGAGGUGAAAGCCUGGAGCUCAACUCCAGAGCUGCCUUUGAUACUGGAAGUCUUGAGUUCGGGAGAGGUGAGUGGAACUGCGAGUGUAGAGGUGAAAUUCGUAGAUAUUCGCAAGAACACCAGUGGCGAAGGCGGCUCACUGGCCCGAUACUGACGCUGAGGCACGAAAGCGUGGGGAGCAAACA
This 403-nucleotide ribosomal RNA is filed under the name uncultured bacterium. Its description in RNAcentral is "bacterial SSU rRNA". It matches the Rfam family "Bacterial small subunit ribosomal RNA", at positions 354 to 774 of the family's 1533-position model. The record is from RNAcentral.